Molecule: long non-coding RNA, 356 nt
Organism: Myiozetetes cayanensis
Lineage: Eukaryota; Metazoa; Chordata; Aves; Passeriformes; Tyrannidae
Exons: 3
Source: RefSeq, a predicted model, not a curated record
UAACUUGAGUUAUAUAAAAUUGAGAUCUACAAUGGUAAAACACAGCCAAAGCUUCUGGUAAUUCCUUGGAGCAGCAGCAAAGUACUGGUUGGAUUGGGUUGGAUUAUUGCAGGAGGAAAAGUGACAGAUGCCCACCUGAACAGGGCACAAGAGGCUGAGCAAGUUCCAGGUUGCCCCAGAUCUCCCAAAGGAAAAAAUCCAUGCCAGGAAAAAAAGUCCAAAUGUGUGUUCAAAUCAAAAGGGGAAAAAAGGCUUUUUUCCUCUUUAGACGACAGAUACAGCUUUACUUUAUGGCAAUUGGACAGACAGAGUUGCUUCUGUUCAGCACAGCCCUGCUCUUCUCAGGAGCCCACGAG